CCUGGCGGCAGUAGCGCGGUGGUCCCACCUGACCCCAUGCCGAACUCAGAAGUGAAACGCCGUAGCGCCGAUGGUAGUGUGGGGUCUCCCCAUGUGAGAGUAGGGAACUGCCAGGC
Ribosomal RNA from Pluralibacter gergoviae, 116 nucleotides. NCBI's taxonomy places the organism in Bacteria, Pseudomonadati, Pseudomonadota, Gammaproteobacteria, Enterobacterales, Enterobacteriaceae. The record is from Rfam.